Molecule: ribosomal RNA, 432 nt
Filed under: uncultured bacterium
Lineage: Bacteria
Description: partial 16S ribosomal RNA
Rfam family: Bacterial small subunit ribosomal RNA
Source: RNAcentral
AACGAACGCUGGCGGCAUGCUUAACACAUGCAAGUCGAACGAGACGUUCCGGCUUAGUGGCGCCCGGGUUCGUGACGCGUGGGAACCUGCCCUUAGGUUCUGAAUAACUCCCCGAAAGGGGUGCUAAUACCUGAUAAUGUCAUCGGACUAAAGAUUUGUCGCCUUUGGAUGGGCCUGCGUUGGUUUGGUAGGUGGUAGGGUAAAAGCCUACCAAGGCGACGAUCCAUAGCUGGUCUGUGAAGAUGGUCAGUCACACUGGGACUGAGACACGGCCCAGACUCGUACGGGAGGCAGCGGUGGGGGAUAUUGGAGAGUGAGCGAAAGCCUGAUCCAGCAAUGCGGCGUGAGUGGUGAAGGGGUUAGGAUUGUAAAGCUCUUUUGCCCGAGAUGAUAGUGACAGUACCGGGAGAAGAAGCUCCGGCUAACUACGUG